GGGGGGGGGUCCUGCCAGUAUCUGCUUGUCUCAAAGUUAAGCCAUGAUGUCUAGUACAUAGCGAAUAGGGAACACGCGAGAAUGGCUCAUUAAAUCAGUUAUGGUUCCUUAGAUCGUUUCUUCCUACUUGGAUAACUGUGGCAAUUCUAGAGCUAAUACAUGCAGUGAGCCUGGAGCCCUUUGGGUAACGGCAGUGCUUUUUUAUUGCAGAUCGAUCGGGUCGGCCCGUAUUGUGUGGUGACUCUGGAUAACUUUGUGCUGAUCGCAUGGCCACGAGCCGGCGACGUUUCAAGUGUCUCCUUAUCAACGUUUCGUUGGUAGGUUACUUGCCUUACAUGGUUCGCUACGGUACGGGAAUCAGCGCGUUCGAUUUCGGGAGGGAGCCUGAUGAAACGGCUACCACUCCAAGGAGGGGCCGCAGGGCGCAAAUUACCCACUCCCGGCACGGGGAGGUAGUGACGAAAAAUAACAAUACGGGACUCUUUUGAGGCCCCGUAAUUGAAAUGAGCCUCUAAAUCCUUAUUAACGGAGCCGAUCAAUUGGAGGGCAAGUCUGGAUCCUGCCGCAGCCGCGGUAAUUCCAGCUCCAAUAGCGUAUACUAAAGCUGCUGCGGUUAAAAAGCUCGUAGUUGGAUCUCAGUUCCAGACGAGUAGUGCAUCUACCCGAUGCGACGGCUCGGACUGAACAUCAUGCCGGUUCUUUCUUGGUGCACUUCAUUGUGUGCCUCGAGAUGGCCGGUGCUUUUCCUUUUGAAAAACUCACCGAGGUGCUCAACGAACCAGGAGGGCGCAGGUUUCGCCAGCAACCAAACCUUGCAGAAUAAACUACAACAAGACCCAUCGUUCGUUUCUGUUCUGUUGCCGUUUUGAAUCACGCAGGUCAAUUGCGAUUAAAGAGGGACAGGACCGGGGAGGCAAAUAUCGUCAAUUUCACCAGCAGCGCCAUAGAGAGCAAAAACUGAAAUUCUUGGACCGACGCAAGACGAACUACUGCGAAAGCAUUUGCCAAGAUGUUUUCAAUUGAUAAGCACAGACAAGUCCAGAGGUUCCCGAUAGGCGAUCAGAAUACGCCCCUAGUUUACUUGACUCAAUAAACGAUGCCAACUCAGCGAUCGAGCCAUGCGAAGUUAAUAAUAACACAAAUUGAAUUCCGCCGGCAGCUUCACCCGGGAAACCAAAGUAUUUGGGUUCCGGGGGAAGUAUGGUUGCAAAGCUGAAACUUAAAGGAAUUGACGGAAGGGCACCACCAGGAGUGGAGCCGCGGCUUAAUUAUCCGACUCAACACGGGAAAACUUACCCGGCCCGGACACUGGGAGGAUUGACAGAUUGAGAGCUCUUUCUUGAUUCGGUGGAUGGUGGUGCAUGGCCGUUCUUAGUUGGUGGAGCGAUUUGUCUGGUUAAUUCCGACAACAACACAUAACAAGAGACUCUAGCCUAUUAAAUAGGUGCGGGGUUCCCAGCACCUUACAACCUUCUUAGAGGGACAAGCGGCUCCUAGCCGCACGAAACAGAGCAAUAACAGGUCUGUGAUGCCCUUAGAUGUCCGGGGCCGCACGCGCGCUACACUGAAGGAAGCAGCGUGUCUUUAUCCCUGUCUGAAAAGACUGGGUAACCCGUGGAACUUCUUUCGUGAUUGGGAUAGGGGCUUGCAAUUGUUCCCCUUGAACGAGGAAUUCCCAGUAAGCGCGAGUCAUAAGCUCGCGUUGAUUACGUCCCUGCCCUUUGUACACACCGCCCGUCGCUACUACCGAUUGAAUGAUUUAGUGAGGUCUUCGGACCGAUCUCCGGCGCGGCCUUUCGGUUGCGCCGGUCUGUUGGAAAGAUGACCAAACUUGAUCAUUUAGAGGAAGUAAAAGUCGUAACAAGGUUUCCGUAGGUGAACCUGCGGAAG
This 1890-nucleotide ribosomal RNA is filed under the name Rhipicephalus microplus (southern cattle tick). RNAcentral's name for it is "SSU rRNA". It matches the Rfam family "Eukaryotic small subunit ribosomal RNA". The record is from RNAcentral. Lineage: Eukaryota; Metazoa; Arthropoda; Arachnida; Ixodida; Ixodidae.